GAUGAACGCUGACAGAAUGCUUAACACAUGCAAGUCUACUUGAACUUCGGUUUGGGUGGCGGACGGGUGAGUAACGCGUAAAGAACUUACCUCACAGUUAGGGACAACAUUUGGAAACGAAUGCUAAUACCUGAUAUUAUGAUUUUAGGGCAUCCUAAGAUUAUGAAAGCUAUAUGCGCUGUGAGAGAGCUUUGCGUCCCAUUAGCUAGUUGGAGAGGUAACGGCUCACCAAGGCGAUGAUGGGUAGCCGGCCUGAGAGGGUGAACGGCCACAAGGGGACUGAGACACGGCCCUUACUCCUACGGGAGGCAGCAGUGGGGAAUAUUGGACAAUGGACCAAAAGUCUGAUCCAGCAAUUCUGUGUGCACGAUGACGUUUUUCGGAAUGUAAAGUGCUUUCAGUUGGGAAGAAAAAAAUGACGGUACCAACAGAAGAAGUGAGGGCUAAAUACGUG
Molecule: ribosomal RNA, 454 nt
Filed under: uncultured bacterium
Lineage: Bacteria
Description: partial 16S ribosomal RNA
Rfam family: Bacterial small subunit ribosomal RNA
Source: RNAcentral